RNAcentral lists this ribosomal RNA (253 nucleotides) under uncultured bacterium. RNAcentral's name for it is "partial 16S ribosomal RNA". It matches the Rfam family "Bacterial small subunit ribosomal RNA", at positions 524 to 776 of the family's 1533-position model. The record is from RNAcentral.
GACGGAGGGUGCUAGCGUUGUUCGGAAUUACUGGGCGUAAAGGGCGCGUAGGCGGCCUCUUAAGUCGGGUGUGGAAGCCCGGGGCUCAACCCCGGAACGGCACCCGAGACUGCGGGGCUGGAGACCGGAAGAGGUGAGUGGAAUACCCAGUGUAGAGGUGAAAUUCGUAGAUAUUGGGUGGAACACCGGUGGCGAAAGCGGCUCACUGGUCCGGUUCUGACGCUGAGGCGCGAAAGCGUGGGGAGCAAACAGG